Molecule: long non-coding RNA, 1201 nt
Organism: Bos taurus (domestic cattle)
Lineage: Eukaryota; Metazoa; Chordata; Mammalia; Artiodactyla; Bovidae
Source: Ensembl
UCUUAACACUGUGAGUCAUUAUUGAUCCCAAAUUAAGAAGUUAAAUGUAAACAUUCAGAAGAUAGCCAAAAACAAGUAAGUAUAAAAUUCAUUUCUGGAUGAGAAAAGAUGUACAAAUUUAUAAUGUUUAAAACAAGAAAAAAGAAAAUAUUAUUAGAUUUUACAAAAUAAAAAAAAAACUACACACUUAGAAACAUUCACCAACUUACAAGGCAAAAUCAAACUAAAAACACAUUUUCAACAAAAGUUCAGUAUCCUAAAUAUAAUUCCAUCUUCUUCCAUCUACCUCACUCAUAUUUUCAUUGAACGCCACCUAUACAGAUGAUAAAACUGAGGCCUAGAAAUGAUAAGCAACUGUUACAAGAUCACUUAGGGCAGCAAAUGUUAAACCAACUCAGACCUCAGAUGGGGAUUCUGCCUCUUUUUUGCUGUCUUUAUAAUGAGAAUUUUGGAUUAGAGAUUACUGACAUUGCCUUCCAAAUUUAAACCAAUGAUUUACAGCAACACCAUGCUCCAUUCACGAGGUGAGACAGAGGAAAAAUGCAAACACUGAAAUUCGGUUGGAACUGAACUGAAUGAAAGGGGAAAAAAUCCCCUCUUUACAAUUAUGAGACUUAUUAGUAUUUUUCCUAAAUGUAACAUCCAGAUGUAAUCGGCUAUGUCUUUUUCAAAAAAUAUUUUUAGUGCUACAAAACUUUUUUUACAGAAUGACUGUAAAAGCAGUUAAUUUCUGUAUAAUUUUCAAAAUUACACUUGGGGUCUGGACUAAGUGGAUCUUGAGAUCAAUAAAAAGUCUGGGACUGUUGCCUCUGAAACAGCCUAGGAAGGUGGCCCUUUUAACAUCUGUCAUGCUUAGCACUUAGGAGAUGACCUGAUCCUUUAAAGAAACCUCUCUUUUAUUAUUCAGUCUUCAAAGCGUUAAGUGAAUUUGUCUGGGUUCAUUAUACACCUUCUAGCUCCUAACUUCUCCAACACUUCUCAACAAUCAGUUCUGACUACAUUCAUUUCAAUUUGUCUACUCUUUUCCAACUGUUUUUCACUAAGUUAAAUUGUCCAAAUUCUCUUUCUCUUCUUCGGAGGUUUUUAGUACUGCUAACAUCUGAGAUAUACAACAUUUUUAUGACCCUGUCUCUAUUCACAUGAGCCAUUACCAGGAUGCCUUCAUAAAUACUUUCCUGCACAAUUACAUAAAGGACACGAG